Molecule: ribosomal RNA, 942 nt
Filed under: Triticum aestivum (bread wheat)
Lineage: Eukaryota; Viridiplantae; Streptophyta; Magnoliopsida; Poales; Poaceae
Description: partial small subunit ribosomal RNA
Source: RNAcentral
AUGGUGCCGCAACGUCAGUGGCAUAUCCAAGAGCAGCAAUUCAGUACGGAUAUGCGAGUGCUGGACCUAGGGGCAUACGACGCAGUGUUGGGCGCCGACUGGCUAGCUCAACAUAGUCCGAUGAAGUGUGACUGGCAAGAGAAGACCAUGCAGUUCGAACGGGAUGGACAACCGGUACACUUGAGGGGCGUCCGGUCAGACGAACAACCAACUCUGUCUGCUAUGGAUGCAGCGGCACUUUGGCAGAUGCAUGAUGCGAAUGAAAUUUGGGGUGCUGCUCUCCUGGAAAUUCAGUUAACCUCUACCACACCGUCAGAUUCAGCACAACCUAUACCAGUGGUGAUUCAGAACCUGCUCACAGACUUCAGUGAUGGGUUUGCUGAACCCACUGAACUACCUCCUCACCGGCAAUACGAUCAUGCGAUAACCUUGGAACCUGGUGCCACACCCAUUAAUUGCAGGCCGUUCCGCUACUCACCACUACAGAAAGAUGAGAUUGAGCGGCAAGUCGCCGAAAUGCUACGUACCGGCGUCAUCACCCACAGCAUGAGUCCUUUCGCCGCACCAGUGCUGCUCGUGAAGAAGAAGGACAGGACAUGGCGUUUCUGUGUUGACUACAGACGCCUAAACAUGGUCACUAUCAAGAACAAGUUUCCACUCCCGGUCAUUGAUGAACUGUUGGAUGAGCUAGCUGGCGCCGUGUUCUUCUUCAAAAUCGAUUUGCGCGCGGGCUACCAUCAGAUCCGCAUGCGAGAGGGUGAUGAAGAGAAAACAGCAUUUAAAACGCAUCAUGGGCACUUUCAGUUUCGAGUUAUGCCAUUUGGAGUCACCAACGGACCACCAACAUUCCAGUGUGUCAUGAACUCCGUCUUCGCAGGCCCUAAUCGUAAGUUUGUCAUUACUUUCCUCGAUGACAUUUUGGUUUUCAGUCAGUCCCUGUAG